AAAACACCGCAAGCAGAUGGAGGUUCAGAAGUUGACGACUUUGUUUUGCUUUAUAACUCAUCAAGCUUGAUACGAAUGACUGGAUAUUUAAUAUCAAGAAUAUAUUUUAUAUAUUUUGGAUAUCUUAAGUAUUUACCUGCUCGAAUGAUUGUUCAUCAUCAUUUUCUUCACUGUUUCGUUGGUGCAAAAACGCUUCGAGAACAAAAUUAACUUCAGCGAGAGAUUAAUUGAAGACAAAUCAAUUUAUUGACUCCCAUCAUGAUGAAUUCUUUGUGCCGGUUCUACAUGCUGGAAGAGCUGGAAUACGACCGCCGAGAAAUUGAAAGAAUUGUCUGCUGCUCUGGAUAUUUCUCGGUGUGGUGAGUGACUUUCUGCAUGAUAUAUUUUUUAGUUAAUCAUAAGUUUUAUUUUAUUUAUCUUUUUACGAAUAUUUUCUCUUAUU
Microplitis demolitor is the source of this 442-nucleotide long non-coding RNA. RefSeq lists it as uncharacterized. The transcript has 4 exons. The record is from RefSeq and is a predicted model, not a curated record. Lineage: Eukaryota; Metazoa; Arthropoda; Insecta; Hymenoptera; Braconidae.